GUGGGGAAUUUUGGACAAUGGGCGCAAGCCUGAUCCAGCCAUGCCGCGUGCAGGAUGAAGGCCUUCGGGUUGUAAACUGCUUUUGUACGGAACGAAAAGACUCUGGUUAAUACCUGGGGUCCAUGACGGUACCGUAAGAAUAAGCACCGGCUAACUACGUGCCAGCAGCCGCGGUAAUACGUAGGGUGCGAGCGUUAAUCGGAAUUACUGGGCGUAAAGCGUGCGCAGGCGGUUAUGUAAGACAGAUGUGAAAUCCCCGGGCUCAACCUGGGAACUGCAUUUGUGACUGCAUAGCUAGAGUACGGCAGAGGGGGAGGGAAUUCCGCGUGUAGCAGUGAAAUGCGUAGAUAUGCGGAGGAACACCGAUGGCGAAGGCAAUCCCCUGGGCCUGUACUGACGCUCAUGCACGAAAGCGUGGGGAGCAAACAGGAUUAGAAACCCCGGUAGUCC
This 450-nucleotide ribosomal RNA is filed under the name uncultured bacterium. RNAcentral's name for it is "partial 16S ribosomal RNA". It matches the Rfam family "Bacterial small subunit ribosomal RNA", at positions 354 to 796 of the family's 1533-position model. The record is from RNAcentral.